AGUGAACGCUGGCGGUAGGCCUAACACAUGCAAGUCGAACGGCAGCACAGUAAGAGCUUGCUCUUACGGGUGGCGAGUGGCGGACGGGUGAGGAAUACAUCGGAAUCUACUUUUUCGUGGGGGAUAACGUAGGGAAACUUACGCUAAUACCGCAUACGACCUACGGGUGAAAGCAGGGGAUCUUCGGACCUUGCGCGAUUGAAUGAGCCGAUGUCGGAUUAGCUAGUUGGUGGGGUAAAGGCCCACCAAGGCGACGAUCCGUAGCUGGUCUGAGAGGAUGAUCAGCCACACUGGAACUGAGACACGGUCCAGACUCCUACGGGAGGCGGCAGUGGGGAAUAUUGGACAAAGGGCGCAAGCCUGAUCCAGCCAUACCGCGUGGGUGAAGAAGGCCUUCGGGUUGUAAAGCCCUUUUGUUGGGAAAGAAAAGCAGCAGGUUAAUACCCCGCUGUUCUGACGGUACCCAAAGAAUAAGCACCGGCUAACUUCGUG
Molecule: ribosomal RNA, 492 nt
Filed under: uncultured bacterium
Lineage: Bacteria
Description: partial 16S ribosomal RNA
Rfam family: Bacterial small subunit ribosomal RNA
Source: RNAcentral